CAUACCUAUUCGAAGGGAUAGGGUCGGUUUGGCCGGAUUUCACACAGGUGUUGCAUGGCUGUCGUCAGCUCGUGUCGUGAGAUGUUGGGUUAAGUCCCGCAACGAGCGCAACCCUCAUCCCUAGUUACCAUCAGGUUAUGCUGGGGACUUUAAGGAAACUGCCAGUGAUAAACUGGAGGAAGGUGGGGAUGAUGUCAAGUCAUCAUGGCCCUUAUGGAGUGGGCUACACACGUGCUACAAUGGUGAUUACAAUGGGCUGCAAGGUCGCAAGGCUGAGCUAAUCCUAAAAAAUCAUCUCAGUUCGGAUUGUUCUCUGCAACUCGAGAGCAUGAAGUUGGAAUCGCUAGUAAUCGUGGAUCAGCAUGCCACGGUGAAUACGUUCUCGGGUCUUGUACACACUGCCCGUCACGCCAUGGGAAUUGGUUUCACUCGAAGCU
This 437-nucleotide ribosomal RNA is filed under the name Wolbachia endosymbiont of Aphis gossypii. RNAcentral's name for it is "bacterial SSU rRNA". It matches the Rfam family "Bacterial small subunit ribosomal RNA", at positions 992 to 1428 of the family's 1533-position model. The record is from RNAcentral. Lineage: Bacteria; Pseudomonadati; Pseudomonadota; Alphaproteobacteria; Rickettsiales; Anaplasmataceae.